Small nuclear RNA from Sorex araneus (European shrew), 102 nucleotides. The record is from Ensembl. Lineage: Eukaryota; Metazoa; Chordata; Mammalia; Eulipotyphla; Soricidae.
GUGCUUGCUUGGGCAGCACAUACACGAAAACUGGAACAAGACAGAUUAACAUGGCUCCUGCACAGCGAUGACAUGUGAAUUAGUGAAGCGUUUCAUACUUUA